GGCUGGCUAUAGCUCAGUUGGUAGAGCAUGGACUCAGCUAGAUUGGUAAAGAAAAGGUGUUUUAUAUGUGUUGUAUAUGCAGUAUAACACUGUGACACCAGAUGGCACUGGAGACUCCCGUUUUUCCCUACCAGAUUUCCCUGUAUGAGUUUACAACGUGUUUAACUGAAUCACUUCUUUGAUGUGUCUAGCUCCAGCCCAUGAGACUCUUCAUCUCAGAAUCGUGGGUUUGAGCCCCAUGUUGGGCCA
Molecule: non-coding RNA, 249 nt
Organism: Podarcis lilfordi (Lilford's wall lizard)
Lineage: Eukaryota; Metazoa; Chordata; Lepidosauria; Squamata; Lacertidae
Source: the annotation of a GenBank genome assembly